GACGAACGCUGGCGGCGUGCUUAACACAUGCAAGUCGAACGGAAAGGCCCUGCUUUUGUGGGGUGCUCGAGUGGCGAACGGGUGAGUAACACGUGAGUAACCUGCCCUUGACUUUGGGAUAACUUCAGGAAACUGGGGCUAAUACCGGAUAGGAGCUCCUGCUGCAUGGUGGGGGUUGGAAAGUUUCGGCGGUUGGGGAUGGACUCGCGGCUUAUCAGCUUGUUGGUGGGGUAGUGGCUUACCAAGGCUUUGACGGGUAGCCGGCCUGAGAGGGUGACCGGCAACAUUGGGACUGAGAUACGGCCCAGACUCCUACGGGGGGAAGCAGUGGGGAAUAUUGCACAAUGGGCGGAAGCCUGAUGCAGCAACGCCGCGUGCGGGAGGACGGCCUUCGGGUUGUAAACCGCUUUCGCCUGUGACGAAGCGUGAGUGACGGUAAUGGGUAAAGAAGCACCGGCUAACUACGU
RNAcentral lists this ribosomal RNA (467 nucleotides) under uncultured bacterium. Its description in RNAcentral is "partial 16S ribosomal RNA". It matches the Rfam family "Bacterial small subunit ribosomal RNA", at positions 28 to 506 of the family's 1533-position model. The record is from RNAcentral.